This 103-nucleotide non-coding RNA is filed under the name Kocuria flava. RNAcentral's name for it is "TPP sequence". It matches the Rfam family "TPP riboswitch aptamer (THI element)". Rfam says of the family: Vitamin B(1) in its active form thiamin pyrophosphate (TPP) is an essential coenzyme that is synthesised by coupling of pyrimidine and thiazole moieties in bacteria. The previously detected thiamin-regulatory element, thi box was extended, resulting in a new, highly conserved RNA secondary structure, the THI element, which is widely distributed in eubacteria and also occurs in some archaea. Analysis of operon structures identified a large number of new candidate thiamin-regulated genes, mostly transporters, in various prokaryotic organisms. The record is from Rfam by way of RNAcentral. Lineage: Bacteria; Bacillati; Actinomycetota; Actinomycetes; Micrococcales; Micrococcaceae.
AGCGCGUUCUGCGGGAGCCCCGGACGGGGCUGAGAGGGCUUGAGCGCCGACCGCCACACCUGAUGCGGGUCAUGCCGCCGUAGGAAAGGACAGCCGGUGGACA